This 74-nucleotide transfer RNA is filed under the name archaeon CG10_big_fil_rev_8_21_14_0_10_43_11. RNAcentral's name for it is "tRNA-Thr". It matches the Rfam family "tRNA". From Rfam's summary of the family: Transfer RNA (tRNA) molecules are approximately 80 nucleotides in length. The record is from RNAcentral.
GCCUCGGUAGCUCAGUUCGGCGGAGCGCUGCCUUGGUAAGGCAGAGGUCGAGAGUUCAAAUCUCUCCCGGGGCU